RNAcentral lists this ribosomal RNA (671 nucleotides) under uncultured bacterium. RNAcentral's name for it is "bacterial SSU rRNA". It matches the Rfam family "Bacterial small subunit ribosomal RNA", at positions 790 to 1497 of the family's 1533-position model. The record is from RNAcentral.
CUAGUCAGGGCAGUAAUGCACUUUACCAGAUUUAAGUGUGCCGCCUGGGGAGUACGGUCGCAAGANUUAAAACUCAAAGGGGAAUAGACGGGGACCCCGCACAAGCCGGUGGAGCAUGUGGUNUAAUUCGAAGAUACACGAAGAACCCUUACCUGGCCCUGAUAUCCUAAGAGUCCUGCAGAGAUGUGGGAGUGCUAGUUUACUAGAACUUAGAGACAGGUGCUGCACGGCUGUCGUCAGCUCGUGUCGUGAGAUGUUGGGUUAAGUCCCGCAACGAGCGCAACCCUCGUGAUUAGUUGCUAACAGUUCGGCUGAGCACUCUAAUCAGACUGCCUUCGCAAGGAGGAGGAAGGUGAGGACGACGUCAAGUCAUCAUGGCCCUUAUGGCCAGGGCUACACACGUGCUACAAUGGUUAGGACAAAGAGACGCGAUACUGCGAAGUGGAGCAAAUCUUAAAACCUAGUCUCAGUUCGGAUUGGAGUCUGCAACUCGACUCCAUGAAGCUGGAAUCGCUAGUAAUCGUAGAUCAGAUAUGCUACGGUGAAUACGCUCCCGGGUCUUGUACUCACCGCCCGUCACACCAUGGGAGUUGAAUUCACCCGAAGCCGGGAUACUAAACUAGUUACCGACCACGGUGGGUUCAGCGACUGGGGUGAAGUCGUAACAAGGU